CCUACGGGCGGCAGCAGUGAGGAAUAUUGGUCAAUGGACGAGAGUCUGUACCAGCCAAGUAGCGUGAAGGAUGACUGCCCUAUGGGUUGUAAACUUCUUUUAUAUGGGAAUAAAAUGUUCCACGUGUGGGAUUUUGUAUGUACCAUAUGAAUAAGGAUCGGCUAACUCCGUGCCAGCAGCCGCGGUAAUACGGAGGAUCCGAGCGUUAUCCGGAUUUAUUGGGUUUAAAGGGAGCGUAGGUGGAUUGUUAAGUCAGUUGUGAAAGUUUGCGGCUCAACCGUAAAAUUGCAGUUGAAACUGGCAGUCUUGAGUACAGUAGAGGUGGGCGGAAUUCGUGGUGUAGCGGUGAAAUGCUUAGAUAUCACGAAGAACUCCGAUUGCGAAGGCAGCUCACUGGACUGCAACUGACACCGAGGCUCGAAAGUGUGGGUAUCAAACAGGAUUAGAUACCCUUGUAGUC
Molecule: ribosomal RNA, 460 nt
Filed under: uncultured bacterium
Lineage: Bacteria
Description: partial 16S ribosomal RNA
Rfam family: Bacterial small subunit ribosomal RNA
Source: RNAcentral